Molecule: unclassified non-coding RNA, 328 nt
Filed under: uncultured fungus
Lineage: Eukaryota; Fungi
Description: sequence contains 5.8S rRNA gene
Rfam family: 5.8S ribosomal RNA (bases 1-53)
Source: RNAcentral
GAACGCACAUUGCGCCCGCUGGUAUUCCAGCGGGCAUGCCCGUUCGAGCGUCAUUUUAAUCUUUUCCCAGGAGACUCUUCUAUUCUGUAGUGAGAGUGUCAGCGGGGUGUUGGCAUUGGGCGCCUUAUUUUUAGGCGGCCGGAGCCGAAAUGAAGCGGCGGACUCGCGGCGGCCCCUAGCGCAGUAGAAACAACCCUUCUCGCUUAGGAGAGCUGCAGCGGCGGACCACAGCCCUAUAUGCUUUUUUUUUUUUUUUAAAAAAAAAAAAAAAGCUAACAUAUAUAAAAACUUGACCUCGGAUCGGGUAGGACUACCCGCUGAACUUAAG